RNAcentral lists this long non-coding RNA (228 nucleotides) under Physeter macrocephalus (sperm whale). RNAcentral's name for it is "Physeter catodon (sperm whale) lncRNA (ENSPCTG00005003461.1)". Lineage: Eukaryota; Metazoa; Chordata; Mammalia; Artiodactyla; Physeteridae. The record is from RNAcentral.
UUCCAGUCCCUCUUCGCGCCCAGCUGGCCACGCCCCUUCCCAACUCGCUCCUCCCCCAUUAGGCCGGCGGCGCGCGAAAAGCGCGUCACGUGACGGCUGGCCCCGCCUCUUCCUCUCGGUCCCAUAUUGAACUCGAGUUGGAAGAGGCGAGUCCGGUCUCAAAAUGGAGGGCCAUGAUCCAAAGGAACCAGAACAGUUGAGAAAACUGUUUAUCGGUGGUCUGAGCUU